Molecule: ribosomal RNA, 154 nt
Filed under: uncultured bacterium
Lineage: Bacteria
Description: partial 16S ribosomal RNA
Source: RNAcentral
CACGGAGUUAGCCGGUGCUUAUUCUAUAGGUACACUCAGCUCCACUCGCAAGUGGCAUUUGUUCCCUAUCAAAAGCAGUUUACAACCCAGAGGGCCGUCUUCCUGCACGCGGCAUGGCUGGUUCAGACUUGCGUCCAUUGACCAAUAUUCCCUA